RNAcentral lists this ribosomal RNA (484 nucleotides) under uncultured bacterium. Its description in RNAcentral is "partial 16S ribosomal RNA". It matches the Rfam family "Bacterial small subunit ribosomal RNA", at positions 29 to 523 of the family's 1533-position model. The record is from RNAcentral.
AGUGAACGCUGGCGGCGUGCUUAACACAUGCAAGUCGAACGAGAACGGAAUAUAGCUUGCUAUAUUUGUCAGCUAAGUGGCGCACGGGUGAGUAAUGUAUAGAUAACCUGCCCUUAAGAAAGGAAUAACAGUUGGAAACGACUGCUAAUGCCCUAUAUGCCUUUAAUACAUAAGUAUGCAAGGGAAACGCUUUAGUGCUUAAGGAUGGGUCUGUAUGGUAUCAGCUUGUUGGUGAGGUAAUGGCUCACCAAGGCCAUGACGCCUAACUGGUUUGAGAGGAUGAUCAGUCACACUGGAACUGAGACACGGUCAGACUCCUACGGGAGGCAGCAGUGGGGAAUAUUGCACAAUGGACGAAAGUCUGAUGCAGCAACGCCGCGUGGAGGUUGACACAUUUCGGUGCGUAAACUCCUUUUAUAUAGGAAGAUAAUGACGGUACUAUAUGAAUAAGCACCGGCUAACUCCGUGCCAGCCGCCGCCGUAA